Carassius auratus (goldfish) is the source of this 350-nucleotide long non-coding RNA. RefSeq lists it as uncharacterized. The record is from RefSeq and is a predicted model, not a curated record. Lineage: Eukaryota; Metazoa; Chordata; Actinopteri; Cypriniformes; Cyprinidae. The transcript has 3 exons.
UUCCUGCAAGUUAGUUUCAGUUUUAUGUUUGCAUUCCUCUUCAGCGGCUCAGUGAGGCAUACUGCAUGUGAAGUGAAAUCUGUCAUCUUGUUAUGAACUGAUAAACAUGAACAAAGUCUCAAACCUUCAGUAGGAUGACCUCAACAACAGCAGACGGGAAACAAUGCCGAGCAGCAGUCCCAUAAAGAGCGUAAUGAUUGCAAAAAUCACGUAAGAGCCCCAGGAAGGGAUGCCCAGCGUAUUCGUCAGGAGAGAGGAUGGAGACUUCCAUCCAGGCACCGGCUCAACCGUCGCCCACUUCUUCUGCUCAACAUACGCCUGGAUAUCCUCAAUAGUCCGUGAUGAAACAU